GAUGAACGCUGGCGGCGUGCCUAAUACAUGCAAGUCGAGCGGCCGGACGAGAAGCUCUCUUCUCUACUGUUAGCGGCGGACGGGUGAGUAACACGUGGAUAACCUUCCUAUUUUUCUGGGAUAACUACGGGGGACAAGUGCUACUACCGGAUGAUAUUUCGAACGGCAUAGUUCAGAAGUGAUAGACGCUUUUGCUGUCACUUGUAGCUGAAUCCGCGCUGCAUUAGCUAGUUGGUAAGGUAACGGCUUACCAAGGCAACGAUGCAUAGCCGACCUGAGAGGGUGAUCAGCCACACUGGAACUGAGACACGGUCCAGACUCCUACGGGAGGCAGCAGUAGGGAAUCUUGCGCAAUGGGCGAAAGCCUGACGGAGCAAUGCCGCGUGAGUGAUGAAGGUCUUCGGAUCGUAAAACUCUGUUGUUGGGGAAGAAAAUAUGUGGGUGUAACUGUGGACAUCCUGACGGUACCUAAACAGAAAGCCACGGCUAACUUCGUG
Molecule: ribosomal RNA, 497 nt
Filed under: uncultured bacterium
Lineage: Bacteria
Description: partial 16S ribosomal RNA
Rfam family: Bacterial small subunit ribosomal RNA
Source: RNAcentral